RNAcentral lists this long non-coding RNA (782 nucleotides) under Oryzias javanicus (javanese ricefish). Its description in RNAcentral is "lncRNA (ENSOJAG00000015201.1)". Lineage: Eukaryota; Metazoa; Chordata; Actinopteri; Beloniformes; Adrianichthyidae. The record is from RNAcentral.
UGGUGGGAGGUGUGGUUACCUGGGAUGGACACUAAUCAUUUUACAGAUAACAGAUAUUUUCCCUCUGACUGAAAACUCAAUAAUCUGGAAUGAUUCAAAUAUCAGAUUGAUACGACGGUCUCUGAUUCUGGCGGAUAUCUCCUCAAUCCCGAGUGUGGACCUGAUGUUGGACCAGCUUCAGUGGCGUUCUUCUCUCUUCAGAACGUCCCGUCGGUUCUGAGGAACAGCUGGAGGAAGAGCCCCAAAACCGUGAAGAGGGGGAAGAGGAAGAGCGUGGAGGUGGAGGACCUGGUCUUCAGCGAGAACAAGAGGAACAGGGGGAGGGGCGGGGCUCUGAGCAGCAGACAGGAGCAGAAAGCGUCUGCGGUGAUCUUCGACUCUCCCUCCAAAGCCAAAGGUCCGGUGGAGACGGGAACCACAAAACCCCGUCGAGGGCGCAGAAAGCUUUUAAAGACGGGGGUGUCGACGCCGCUGCUCGAUUCCCCUCAAACGGCGUUGGAAGGAGCCGGCGAAGACAAGGAAAGCGAUCACCUGAUCAUCAAGAGGAAGCUGCGCUCUAAAACCGGCAGGAAGUGAUGUCAUCGACCUCGAAAACAUGUACAGAUUUUAUGUCGUCUCAGGAUCAAUAAAGAACAGGAUAAUGUCACAAUCAGAUUCCUCAUUUUCAGGACGUAGACGGGACCGGCCGUCUGUCGUCACUAGAGUUUCAAUAAAGUUAUGAAAAUGGGAUAAACAAGGCGAUUUAUCUUGACGCAUAUCAUGAUAUAUCCCAAGAAUACCAG